Molecule: long non-coding RNA, 1001 nt
Organism: Oncorhynchus tshawytscha (Chinook salmon)
Lineage: Eukaryota; Metazoa; Chordata; Actinopteri; Salmoniformes; Salmonidae
Source: Ensembl
CCCCCACCAGUCUACAGUCUAGACCCCUGACCCCUACCUGACCCCACCAGUCUACAGUCUAGACCCCUGACCCCCACCUGACCCCACCAGUCUAGACGCUGCAGAGAAAGGAGAAUGUUCCCUCAUCUGGCCAGUGGUAUAUAAUUCCUGUGUAUAUACAUGUGUGCUUCAUGUUGUAAAUAGUCUGAGUCUGUAAUGUGUAUUAUUAUUAAUGAUUUAUCUCUCUUCUGGCCUCUUCUCCAAGCUGGCAACUUCUGUUAGAGACUAAAGAGGGGAAAUGUCCUUCAGGAAUCAACGUUGUAUUACCAGAUAGUAGUUCUUACUACAACCCUGUCCCAAAAUGCCUCGCUAUUUCCUUUCUCGUGCUCUACCCAUAGUGCACUACUUCUGACCAGAGCCCAGAGGGGGAUAGGGGGUCAUUUGGGAUGUGCCCUCUGUGUUGCUGUAGUGCACUAUGAAGGGGAAUAGGGGGGUCAUUUGGGAUGGGCCCUCUGUGUUGCUGUAGUGCACUAUGAGGGGAAUAGGGGGGUCAUUUGGGAUGCACUCUCUGUUGUUGCCUUUAGUUUCAUUUAGUCUGCAGAUCUUUUUUUUACUUCCUGUUUUGGUUAACAGGGUAUUAUUUUACUUCCUGUUUUGUUAACAGGGUAUUAUUCAUCAUCUCUGUUGCCCAUCUGGUAUAAAUAUUAAAAUGGCUCACAGGCUCAGAUUAUAGUUGUUGCUCUUUUAAAAUAAAAUCCUACUGUCCUUAAAUAGGAUUUCUUAUUUGAAAUAACCCAAAAUGAUUACUGUCUUUUGUUUGAACAAAUGAAGUGAGUUUCCUCUGAUUGGCUCACAGGCUGAUUAUGCAGUUUGGGGUUUUGAUUGUAUGAACCAAUAGGCUUAAUGGUGCUGAUGAGAUGAAUACAGGUGAAUGAUGGAGAAACCCCAUCUGUUGGAGCGCGAUCACACAGAGAUGAAUACAGGUGAAUGAUGGAGAAACCCCAUCUGUUGGAGCGCGAUCA